This is a small nucleolar RNA of Sorghum bicolor (sorghum), 110 nucleotides long. It matches the Rfam family "Plant small nucleolar RNA R71". From Rfam's summary of the family: R71 is a member of the C/D box family of snoRNAs containing the C (UGAUGA) and D (CUGA) box motifs. Multiple nearly identical copies of this snoRNA have been identified in Arabidopsis, and it is thought to function as a 2'-O-ribose methylation guide for 18S ribosomal RNA. The record is from Rfam. Lineage: Eukaryota; Viridiplantae; Streptophyta; Magnoliopsida; Poales; Poaceae.
AUUCCAUGAUGAGGACAAUCUUGAAUGUAUCAUUGGAAACGCUCCCAUGCUUCUGAAAUAGUUUUUGUCUUCUACUAUUGGAAGUUGGUAAUCUUUCCUCUUAAGGGAUU